UCUGGUGUCAGCCGCCGCGGUAAUACCAGCUCUCCGAGUGGUAGGGAUGAUUAUUGGGCUUAAAGCGUCCGUAGCCGGCUUAGCAAGUCUCCUGUUAAAUUCAGCGACCUAAUCGUUGAGCCGCGGGAGAUACUACUAGGCUAGGAGGCGGGAGAGGCCGACGGUAUUCUCGGGGUAGGGGUGAAAUCCUAUAAUCCCGGGAGGACCACCAGUGGCGAAGGCUGUCGGCUAGAACGCGCCCGACGGUGAGGGACGAAAGCUGGGGGAGCGAACCGGAUUAGAUACCCGGGUAGUCCCAGCAGUAAACGAUGCGGGCUAGGUGUUGGGGCGGCUACGAGCCGCCUCGGUGCCGCACGGAAGCAAUUAA
This 367-nucleotide ribosomal RNA is filed under the name uncultured archaeon. RNAcentral describes it as "bacterial SSU rRNA". It matches the Rfam family "Archaeal small subunit ribosomal RNA", at positions 451 to 818 of the family's 1478-position model. The record is from RNAcentral.